Molecule: long non-coding RNA, 635 nt
Organism: Oreochromis aureus
Lineage: Eukaryota; Metazoa; Chordata; Actinopteri; Cichliformes; Cichlidae
Exons: 3
Source: RefSeq, a predicted model, not a curated record
UCACACAGACAGCAAAUCUUUGGGGGUGCUUUGAUUCAUUUUGGGGGUGCUGAAGCAACGUUUCAUCCAAGAAGCUCCAGAUGUUUGUGCUCCAGAUGUUUGUGCUCCUGGUGAACAGGCUCACAGUUUCCUCCUUGAAAUAAGUGUUUAUAUUGUUGUUAUAUUGUUGACCCACUAUUGAUCAUGUGACUCAUCACAUGAUCAAUGGUGAGCGUCUCUUUCCCUCUCAGGUUUAAAUAUCUGGGACUCUCCACCGUUUGGUUUUAGAACUGAAGAAGCUUCUUGGAUGAAACGUCUUCAAGAAACUUAAAGAUGUCUCUUUUCUCUCCAAGCUCCUUAGAUCACAUGACCUGGAUGACUGAACCUACAGACAUAUUGACCUGGUUUCUAGGUCACAUGACAGACUGACUGAAGAUGAUGAUGGAGGAAGAGGAGGACAGAGCAGAGUCUGCAGGGUCCAGCUGUCCGUCUGUGAGGAGUGACCGGUCCAAAGAUCAACCUCCAGACUUCAGAGUUGAACCUGGACCAACGAGAGGUCAGAGGUCACAGUCUGCAGGGUCCAGCUGUCCGUCUGUGAGGAGUGACCGGUCCAAAGAUGAACCUCCAGGCUUCAGUGGUGAACCUGGACCAACGAG